UACGUAGGGUGCAGGCGUUAAUCGGAAUUACUGGGCGUAAAGCGUGCGCAGGCGGUUUCUUAAGUCAGAUGUGAAAGCCCCGGGCUUAACCUGGGAACUGCGCUUGGAACUGGGAGACUUGAGUGUGGCAGAGGGGGGUGGAAUUCCACGUGUAGCAGUGAAAUGCGUAGAUAUGUGGAGGAACACCAAUGGCGAAGGCAGCCCCCUGGGUCAACACUGACGCUCAUGCACGAAAGCGUGGGGAGCAAACAGG
Molecule: ribosomal RNA, 253 nt
Filed under: uncultured bacterium
Lineage: Bacteria
Description: partial 16S ribosomal RNA
Rfam family: Bacterial small subunit ribosomal RNA
Source: RNAcentral